This 24-nucleotide non-coding RNA is filed under the name Arabidopsis thaliana (thale cress). The record is from RNAcentral. Lineage: Eukaryota; Viridiplantae; Streptophyta; Magnoliopsida; Brassicales; Brassicaceae.
AUGGCUAAACGCUCGAGAGGUCCG